UAUUAUUAUUAUUUAUUAUAAAAUUUUAAAAAUUAUUUUUAUAUCCUUCAUCGUUCUUAUUACUCACCUCAAACUUGGAAUCCCAUCCCGCAUACAGCGUCUCUACGGUUGCUGAAGUGUUUUAGAAAAUUCCUUCUGUCUCUGAUCGUAGUUGAUCAAGUCCCUCAGUGAUGUUCUCCAUCGUGUGGCUCAGGACCUGUACAGUGACAUCACUCUUAAAGGUCAUGAACCACGGUAGACUUUUCUGCCUCAUGACAUUCUCCCUACAAACAAAGCUGAUCACAUCACAACUCUUUCAAACCAACGGUAUCGCUAUUUGCAUAUUAAGCCAUGCUAGGCUUUUUAUGUAAAACAGAGACUAUGAAAACACAAACUCAGAUAUUUUUCCAACUAGCAUAAUAACAUGGUAGUCACAAAAUUUGCCUAACAUUUCCGUUUGUAAAAAUUCUGUUUCAAUGUUUUCAUCCUGGCUUAUUUUCUCUGAGGGUAUGAUAAGAAUCUUUUGUAAAAGUCUAGCACCUCUUUCAAAUCUGCAUCUAAUUUUUAAAGACAAGAUCUCCCAAUCUAACAUACAAUAUCGCGUAGGAUUUUGCCAAGUGAAAGUAGAGAGUGUAAAAAUCCCCAAACAAGUCAGUUCAACAAUGUCUGGCCGGUGAUUCCAACCAGGGCCAUGGUUAGUGUAGUCCACCAUGACACCAACUGAGCUAACAGUGCGCCCGGCCUGUGAGGGAAAUGUGUUCAAACACUCCAAAGAAAGGAUCAGUCCUCCUCCUCCCUAUUUCUUUCUGAUUUUCCUUCUCUUUUUCCUCUACCUUCACUUCUACCUUAUAAUCCUCCUACUUCUUUUUCUUGUAGUUAUUAUUAUAUUUAUUUAUUAUUAAAAAAUUUGCAUUAUUUUUAUAUUCUUAAUCAUUUUUAUUACUCACCUCAAACUUGGAAUCCCAUCCCGCCUCCAGUGUCUCUACGGUCGCCGAAGUGUUUUCGAAAAUUCCUUCUGUCUCUGAUCGUAGUUGAUCAAGUCCCUCAGUGAUGUUCUCCAUCGUGUGGUUCAGGACCUGUACAGUGACAUCACUCUUAAAGGUCAUGAACCACGGUAGACUUUUCUGUCGCAUGACAUUCUCAUUACAGACAAAGCUGAUCACAUCACCACUCUUUCAAACCAACGCUGUUGCUAUUUGCAAAUAUAGCUUGUUUUUGUUAUUAUUAUUAUUUAUCAUAAAAUUUUAAAAACUUUUUAUAUCCUUCAUCAUUCUUAUUACUCACCUCAAACUUGGACUCCCAUCCCGCCUACAGCGUCUCUACGGUUGCCGAAGUGUUUUUGAAAAUUCCGUCUGUCUCUGAUCGUAGUUGAUCAAGUUCCUCGGUGAUGUUCUCCAUCGUGUGGCUCAGGACCUGUACAGUGACAUCACUCUUAAAGGUCAUGAACCACGGUAGACUUUUCUGUCACAUGACAUUCUCCCUACAAACAAAGCUAAUCACAUCACAACUCUUUCAAACCAACGGUAUUGCUAUUUGCAAAUUAAGCCAUAUCAGGCUUUUUAUGUAAAACAGAGACUAUGAAAACACAAACUCAGAUAUUUUUCCAACUAGCAUAAUAACAUGGUAGUCACAAAAUUUGCCUAACAUUUCCAUUUGUAAAAUUUCUGUUUCAAUGUUUUCAUCCUGGCUUAUUUUCUCUGAGGGUAUGAUAAGAAUCUUUAGUAAAAGUCCAGCACCUCUUUCAAAACUACGUCUAAUUUUUAAAGACAAGAUCUCCCAAUCUAACUUACAUCUACAGUAAGAUUUUGCCCCGGCGAAAGUAGAGCGAGUAAAAGUCCCCAAACAAGUCAGUUCAACAAUGUCUGGCCGGUGAUUACAACCAGGGCCAUGGUUAGUGUAGUCCAGUAUGAUGUGCAGUAAAGGAAGCCCCCCAUCUUGAUCUCUCCCCACAGUCCCCGAACCACCAUUUUUCUCUCAACAUGAACGUCUUGAAGGGUUGGGGAAACUCAGUUUGCUGUUGCCGAUGGAAGAACGCCAUUCUUCAACAGUAGCGACCUAUGAGCCCACUUAAAUUGUGCUGGUGUUGGAUUAUUGUUCCAACUAUUCUGCCUCCUGAUGCAGCUGAAAAAGGUCUCAAAAUGACCCUGAGAGAGCAGAUAAGUCGUAAAGUAAUCAUACUUCUUCCCUACACUGUUGCGAGUGCAGUAAAACCCUUACUAAACUAAACUUAACUCUUAUUAAACUAAACUAAACUCACCCCUACACUCAAGUGGCGACGUGGGGAACAGGGAAUGAAGGCAAAUGUGGGACUGAAUAUUUUAAUUCCAGAAUAGUGAUUUCUUCAGUCCCAUCGUUUCCUCCUGAAGUUAUGGCUCUGUGCCAAUAUUUGCCUCACAGAAGCUGUCUUUGGCCUUGUUACUUGUACUACUAUUUCACCAUUUUUCUCUCCUAACUUGUCAAAGACAAAAUAUAGUAGGUCUCUUGCAAUUUGAAUGACAACUUGGCGUUGGCGUACCUUGAAAGUUGAAGGCGCUGCAAUGAACCCUGUUUUACUACCAAACGCAUUUGAGAUGCCUUUCCAACAUUGGCAGUCUCCCAUUCCUUCCGUUCGUUGACAUGUGUCUGAGGACAGGUGAACUCAUGAAAAAGUCCAUCUAUUUUUUAAAAAAAUUUUGGCAAAGCGGACACUUUCUUUCUAUGCACUAAAGUUAUCAAAGGUGUCCCUGUCCCAUUUACUAUAAAGAGUGGCACUGAUAGAUCUGUAAGGCCACAGAUUGCACACUCUUUUUUUGCCAGUCUUUUGGCCUGCAACUUCAGCCCCAUUUGUGAUGGGCAUUUAUAAGUUUUUUCCUCCACCGCUGACCUCAUGUGCAGCAAAACUAGAGGUCCCCCUUCCCACAGAGUGGGUGCCUCGUUUACAGUUGAGUGUGACCCAUAUGAAGAAGGAAAAGUGUGUGUGUUUGUAUUUGAGUGUGUGUGUGUGUAGAAAUGUAUACUAGAAUGUGUGCAUGACCUUGUGCAGUUGCGAGCACCGUAAAACCCUUACUAAACUAAGAGUGUAUGCGCCCAUGUAUGUAAUGUAUGUAUGAGUGUGCCUUCAUGUUUGUGAUGAGAAUGCCAUACCUUUUGCCUGUACAUUUAGAAAACACUAUAGUUUGUGUGGGGAAGGGGGAGGGGUCGUAUUUUGUGAGAAUGCUAUACCUUUUGCCUGUACAUAUUUGAAUGCGUCAUAGUUCGUAUGGGGAAGGGGGAGGGGUCGUAUAUUGUGAGAAUGCUGUGCCUUUUGCCUGUACAUAUUUGAAUGCGUCAUAGUUCGUAUGGGGAAGGGGGAGGGGUCGUAUAUUGUGAGAAUGCUGUGCCUUUUGCCUGUACAUUUAGAAUACGCUAAAGUUUGCAUGGGGAAGGGAGUGGGGACAUGUGUUGUGAAAAUGCUAUACCUUUUGUCUGUACAUUUAGAAAACGCUAUGGUUCGUAUGGAGAAGGGGGUGGGGACGUAUUUUGUGAGAAUGCUGUUUCUUUUGCCUGUACAUUUAGAAUAUGUCAUAGUUUGUAUGGGGAAGGGGGUGGGGACAUGUGUUGUGAGAAUGCUGUUCCUUUUGCUGUACAUAUUUGAAUGCGUCAUAGUUCGUAUAGGGAAGGGGGAGGGGUCGUUUAUUGUGAGAAUGCUGUACAUUUAGAAUACGCUAUAGUUUGCAUGGGGCAGGGGGUGGGGACAUAUUUUGUGAGAAUGCUGUUCCUUUUGUCUGUACAUUUAGAAAACGCUAUUGUUCAUAUGGAGGAGGGGGUGGGGACGUAUUUUGUGAGAAUGCUGUAUCUUUUGCCUGUACAUUUAGAAUAUGUCAUAGUUUGUAUGGGGAAGGGGGUGGGGACGUCUGUUGUGAAAAUGCUGUGUCUUUUGCUGUACCUUAUGAUGUGAUAUUUUCAGUCAAGCUGUUCAUCCAUGCUUACUUGUGCAGAUAUUAUUAUGUUUUGGAAUUGUGUGUAUGUGUAUGGUUGUGGGUGUGCUUUCAUCUUUGGAAUGAGAAUGCUUUGCCUUUUGUUUGAAUAUUCUCUUUAUUGUAUUUUUCUAAUGCUUUUCAGCCACAUAUAAAAGUUGUGAAUGAAUUGGAAAAUAGUUUGUGUAUAUGUGACAGAGAGAGAGAGAGAGAGAGAGUAGGGUAGUGCAGUGUGUGUAUGUGGAAGGGGGGGGGUAACAAAUUCAGAAGCAUAGUUUUUUGGUUCUCCAGCUCUCUGAGGACUAACAUGUAUUUUUCCAUUUGUUCAAUUGUAUGCUGAACAGAAUGUAAAGAAGCAUUAUGUUUACAGCUAGUAAGACAUUGCCCAUGAGUAUUUUAGUCUGAUUAGGAUUCUGUGUUUUCUUUGUCUUCUCUAGUGUUUCACUCAGCAUCAUUGUGCUGCUUUUCAAUGUACAUCAUCUUUAUUACAUUUAUUGAAUGCUGUUCAGUAGCACAUGAAAGUACCGCAUUUAUAGUAUUAAGGUGGGGAGGGGGCAUCGUAUUAAUUUUCAUCGUGGAUGGAGGGAGCGAAGCACAGCACGAUUCCAUUUGAUGGGAUAGCAGUGCAGGAGGCUAGGAGUGAGGAGAAGAAGAAGCUGGACUUCCACACAAUGGCAGUCUCUUGUGGAUACACUCAGUGUCAGGUGGGAGUUGAUCUGAACAAGACUGGUCUGGUCUGGUGACAGAGUGAAUGAAGCAGAGGGUACAUCCUUUUGACGAGACCACAGUGGCGGAGGCUGAGUGCUGAGAAAGCUGGCCUUCGUUCGAGACGGUGGCUGUCUCUUGUCUUUACUUGUGGACUCACUAAGUCUCAGAUCUGGAACAUGAUGAAGAAGCAGCUGCAGACCAUGUUUUCAUCUAACGUGGAGACUGCCAACGGUGAUUUGAUGGUGGCCUUGAAACAUGGAGGUCAAGACGCCCACUGUUCUGACAGCUGAUCUACGCUUGAUUCAGCCUUGCUGUGCUACCCUUCCAAACAUUAUGAUAUGUCUAUGGCCCCCUGCUGUUGCUGUUACUACCUGGACUGUGCUGGAGGAAUGGGACGUCCCACUGUUGUGGUGGCUGUGAACACGAAGACAGGAGAUGAACUCCCCAACCACUGGGUCAAAAGGAGAAUGCUCAUGAGUUUGGACUACUCGUCAUCAUCAUCCGGUGCCUUGCCGACUGCUGUGGGCGAUCAUGGACCUCCACUUCACUCUGUCUUGCGU
Long non-coding RNA from Aplysia californica (California sea hare), 5182 nucleotides. RefSeq lists it as uncharacterized. Lineage: Eukaryota; Metazoa; Mollusca; Gastropoda; Aplysiida; Aplysiidae. The transcript has 4 exons. The record is from RefSeq and is a predicted model, not a curated record.